Molecule: ribosomal RNA, 119 nt
Filed under: Carassius auratus (goldfish)
Lineage: Eukaryota; Metazoa; Chordata; Actinopteri; Cypriniformes; Cyprinidae
Source: RNAcentral
GCUUAUGGCCAUACCAGCCUGGCUAUGCCCGAUCUUGUCUGAUCUCGGAAGCUAAGCAGGUUUGGGCCAGGUUAGUACAUGGAUGGGAGACUGCCUGGGAAUACCAGGUGCUUUAAAUU